AACGCUAGCGGCAGGCUUAACACAUGCAAGUCGAGGGGUAACAUGUCUGCUUGCAGAUGAUGACGACCGGCGCACGGGUGCGUAACGCGUAUACAAUCUGCCUCAUACUGAGGGAUAGCCUUUGGAAACGAAGAUUAAUACCUCAUAGUAUUGUUUGAUCACCUGAUUUUACAAUUAAAGGUUACGGUAUGAGAUGAGUAUGCGUCCUAUUAGCUAGAUGGUAAGGUAACGGCUUACCAUGGCAACGAUAGGUAGGGGCCCUGAGAGGGGGAUCCCCCACACUGGUACUGAGACACGGACCAGACUCCUACGGGAGGCAGCAGUGAGGAAUAUUGGACAAUGGAGGCAACUCUGAUCCAGCCAUGCCGCGUGAAGGAUGACUGCCCUAUGGGUUGUAAACUUCUUUUAUACAGGAAGAAACCGUUCCACGUGUGGAGCUUUGACGGUACUGUAUGAAUAAGCACCGGCUAACUCCGUGCCAGCAGCCGCGGUAAUACGGAGGGUGCAAGCGUUAUCCGGAAUCAUUGGGUUUAAAGGGUCCGUAGGCGGACUAAUAAGUCAGAGGUGAAAUCCUGCAGCUCAACUGUAGAACUGCCUUUGAUACUGUUAGUCUUGAGUUAUUGUGAAGUGGUUAGAAUAUGUAGUGUAGCGGUGAAAUGCUUAGAGAUUACAUAGAAUACCGAUUGCGAAAGGCAGAUCACUAACAAUCAACUGACGCUGAUGGACGAAAGCGUGGGGAGCGAACGGGAUUAGAUACCCCGGUAGUCCACGCCGUAAA
RNAcentral lists this ribosomal RNA (778 nucleotides) under uncultured bacterium. Its description in RNAcentral is "bacterial SSU rRNA". It matches the Rfam family "Bacterial small subunit ribosomal RNA", at positions 32 to 806 of the family's 1533-position model. The record is from RNAcentral.